UUAGCCUUAAAAUGACCAUAUCUUUCACAAGUGUAAGCAUGCAACUUGACGUACCUUUUUCUGAUUUUGUUGUGGCUUGAAUCCCUUAAAUUUUCCUUUAGUGGGACCCAACUUCAAUUGAUUCUGAAUUUUGUUUUGAUUCUUGUGCCUAAAAUGUGUUUUUAGCUCUUCUUCUUGAACCAAGUUUAACUUGGUUCCCUUUGG
Molecule: long non-coding RNA, 204 nt
Filed under: Panax ginseng (ginseng)
Lineage: Eukaryota; Viridiplantae; Streptophyta; Magnoliopsida; Apiales; Araliaceae
Description: long non-coding RNA (PGIN_LNC007476)
Source: RNAcentral